This 175-nucleotide ribosomal RNA is filed under the name uncultured bacterium. RNAcentral's name for it is "partial 16S ribosomal RNA". It matches the Rfam family "Bacterial small subunit ribosomal RNA", at positions 173 to 354 of the family's 1533-position model. The record is from RNAcentral.
CAUUUGAAUCGCAUGGUUUGAAUGUCAAAGAUUUAUCGCUGGAAGAUGGCCUCGCGUCUGAUUAGCUAGUUGGCAGGGUAACGGCCUACCAAGGCGACGAUCAGUAGCCGGACUGAGAGGUUGACCGGCCACAUUGGGACUGAGAUACGGCCCAGACUCCUACGGAAGGCAGCAG